Molecule: ribosomal RNA, 253 nt
Filed under: uncultured bacterium
Lineage: Bacteria
Description: partial 16S ribosomal RNA
Rfam family: Bacterial small subunit ribosomal RNA
Source: RNAcentral
UACGGAGGGGGCUAGCGUUAUUCGGAAUUACUGGGCGUAAAGCGCACGUAGGCGGACUGAAAAGUCAGAGGUGAAAUCCCAGGGCUCAACCUUGGAACUGCCUUUGAAACUCUCAGUCUUGAGGUCGAGAGAGGUGAGUGGAAUUCCGAGUGUAGGGGUGAAAUUCGUAGAUAUUCGGAGGAACACCAGUGGCGAAGGCGGCUCACUGGCUCGAUACUGACGCUAAGGUGCGAAAGCGUAAAAAGCAAACAAG